GGAAUGUAGUUCAGUUGGUAGAGUGCUUGCCUCACAUGUACAAGGCCCUGGAUUCAAUCCCCAGCACCA
RNAcentral lists this transfer RNA (69 nucleotides) under Marmota monax (woodchuck). RNAcentral describes it as "tRNA.Val". The record is from RNAcentral. Lineage: Eukaryota; Metazoa; Chordata; Mammalia; Rodentia; Sciuridae.